CAAAAUAUACGACAUUUAAUAUAGCUAUGGCCGAAAGAGUGCCUUUCGGCAUAGUAGUUCUUUUUAAAUUCCAAUUCCCUAAUUUGCUCCUUGAUUUUUGGCCAAAUUCGAAGUUUGAAUUUCAUUCAAACUCCCAACCGAUCAGCAGCCUUAUCCACCUGCUUGCACCGCUUCAGCAUGCUGCGAAGAGUCCUGGUCAGACCUCAAUUCCUUCCCCACGCAUGCAGCAAAAAUCCGAACCUUGCGUGCGCGAACUGCAGCUUGAACCCCAGACCUCCACCUGCUUGCACCGCUUCAGCAUGCUGCGAAGAGUCCUGGUCAGACCUCAAUUCCUUCCCCAUGCAUGCAGCUAAAAUCCGAACCUUGCGUGCGCGAACUGCAGCUUGAACCCCAGACCUCCGUCUGCCUUGCGCCCACGCUCGCGCUAUCGGCCACUGCACCAUGCUUCCUUCCUUAC
This 457-nucleotide long non-coding RNA is filed under the name Gossypium barbadense (sea-island cotton). RNAcentral describes it as "long non-coding RNA (GBAR_LNC006176)". Lineage: Eukaryota; Viridiplantae; Streptophyta; Magnoliopsida; Malvales; Malvaceae. The record is from RNAcentral.